Molecule: long non-coding RNA, 731 nt
Filed under: Gallus gallus (chicken)
Lineage: Eukaryota; Metazoa; Chordata; Aves; Galliformes; Phasianidae
Source: RNAcentral
GGGUGCUCAAUGGGUUUUGUUGGAGGUAUAGAAAUGGAGGUUUACUGUAGGUUUAUGCAAUCUGCCAUUGCCCAUAGGAACUUCGGGCAGGCAUUUGGCUUUUUGCUAUUUAGAAGUACUACCCUAUUACAUGUAGUCAUAAUGGUUUCAGUGCACAUGUGUACAGCGCUGUAGCACAGCUACCACCCUAAAGCAAACUUCUAAAAGCUCAGAUUCCAUUUGGAGAGUACCAAUUAGUUAUCUGUGGGAAUACCUCAGCUACAGCUCACAUAUACUACUUUGUUCAUCAAACAUAGUUACAAGCUUUACUUAUUGGAUUUUAUCUUGCCCCUGGGUUCUAGGUAGAACUAGAAGGUGGUAUUAGUCUAGGUUUUGCAAGCUGGCCUUGGUUAACUUCCGGUAUUUUUUCACCAUGUCUGUAUACACUUACAGUGACAUCUACUGUUUCCCCACCAUAUUUGUUCUUGACAUAAAUGCUAUAUUUGCCCGAAUCUUCUGAGGUCACUCCUUUGAUUGUUAAACUGGCAUAUUUUCCUUGUUCCAGUGAAACCAAAUAGUGCUCAUUAAGCUCAAGGGCCUUGUCAUUCUUGAACCAAACCACUUCUGGGUCAGGGUUUCCAAACACAGUACAGGUCAGAUUCAGAGUCUUCCCAUCCAUUAUAGUUACAACAUCAGGCAAACCACCAAUGACUUUACCACGAUCUAGGAGUUGAAAAAAAAAAAAAAAAAAA